UUGAUUAAGUAAUCAAAUUUUUGUAUCAAUUCUUUUCUUUAACAUUUGCAUUAAUCAUUUUGUCAAACGUUAUUCUUUAAUCUUUUUCUUUAGUUUUGUUUCACUCCUGUAAGAAACUCUUGUAUUGUAAGUUGUAAGAAAGAGCCAUUAUACCAAUUCAAAAUUUCUACUAGAAAUGACGAAUGGUUAAAAAAAGUUCUAUACAUAAGAAAAUUAGACUUUCUUCCACGGAACUAUUCACGGCAUAUCACACAUUUUCCAUUUCCUUUUACUUUUUACUAUAGUCUAUUCUUACUAUUAUUUUUCUUUCCUUCCAUGGAUUCUUUGGUCAAGAAUUGUC
This 340-nucleotide ribosomal RNA is filed under the name Triticum aestivum (bread wheat). RNAcentral's name for it is "partial small subunit ribosomal RNA". The record is from RNAcentral. Lineage: Eukaryota; Viridiplantae; Streptophyta; Magnoliopsida; Poales; Poaceae.